Molecule: non-coding RNA, 324 nt
Organism: Maylandia zebra (zebra mbuna)
Lineage: Eukaryota; Metazoa; Chordata; Actinopteri; Cichliformes; Cichlidae
Source: RefSeq, a predicted model, not a curated record
AGGUGAGACUCUCAGGACAUUCCUCUCAGGAUUCUUCCAUGCACACAGGAUGCGUGUAGGAAAAAUCAAGAAGUUUGUUUCCAAAUACAUCCUUACCUCGUCGAAAGAGAGGUGCAGUCUCCCCAAACAGAGAGAGCCUCUCAUGGAUCACAUCAUAGACUGGCUGGCAAAGGCUCCGGAGGAAAAGCUGAGGAAGAUUCCCGACAUGCUAACAGCUUCAGAUCUUAACUCCAUGGCAGAAAAACUAAAGAAGAGACUCCAUGAGAUUAAGCAGCAGAACCCAAACUGCAGCUUAACAAUAGAUGAAGUAAACAAUGCUCUCUA